RNAcentral lists this ribosomal RNA (492 nucleotides) under uncultured bacterium. Its description in RNAcentral is "partial 16S ribosomal RNA". It matches the Rfam family "Bacterial small subunit ribosomal RNA", at positions 29 to 507 of the family's 1533-position model. The record is from RNAcentral.
AGUGAACGCUGGCGGUAGGCCUAACACAUGCAAGUCGAACGGCAGCACAGUAAGAGCUUGCUCUUACGGGUGGCGAGUGGCGGACGGGUGAGGAAUACAUCGGAAUCUACUUUUUCGUGGGGGAUAACGUAGGGAAACUUACGCUAAUACCGCAUACGACCUACGGGUGAAAGCAGGGGAUCUUCGGACCUUGCGCGAUUGAAUGAGCCGAUGUCGGAUUAGCUAGUUGGCGGGGUAAAGGCCCACCAAGGCGACGAUCCGUAGCUGGUCUGAGAGGAUGUUCAGCCACACUGGAACUAAGAAACGGUCCAGACUCCUACGGGAGGCAGCGGUGGGGAAUAUUGGACAAUGGGCGCAAGCCUGAUCCAGCCAUACUGCGUGGUUGAAGAAGGCCUUCGGGUUGUAAAGCCCUUUUGUUGGGAAAGAAAAGCAGCAGGUUAAUACCCCGCUGUUCUGACGGUACCCAAAGAAUAAGCACCGGCUAACUUCGUG